RNAcentral lists this ribosomal RNA (850 nucleotides) under uncultured fungus. Its description in RNAcentral is "SSU rRNA". It matches the Rfam family "Eukaryotic small subunit ribosomal RNA", at positions 58 to 907 of the family's 1831-position model. Lineage: Eukaryota; Fungi. The record is from RNAcentral.
UAACAGGCCUGGUUCUAAUUAUAACAAUUAUACCGUGAAACUGCGAAUGGCUCAUUAAAUCAGUUAUCGUUUAUUUGAUAAUACCUUACUACUUGGAUAACCGUGGUAAUUCUAGAGCUAAUACAUGCUGAAAAUCCCGACUUCGGAAGGGAUGUGUUUAUUAGAUAAAAAACCAAUGCCCUUCGGGGCUUUUUGGUGAUUCAUGAUAACUUUACGGAUCGCAUAGCCUUGCGCUGGCGACGGUUCAUUCAAAUUUCUGCCCUAUCAACUUUCGAUGGUAAGGUAUUGGCUUACCAUGGUUUCAACGGGUAACGGGGAAUUAGGGUUCGAUUCCGGAGAGGGAGCCUGAGAAACGGCUACCACAUCCAAGGAAGGCAGCAGGCGCGCAAAUUACCCAAUCCCGACACGGGGAGGUAGUGACAAUAAAUACUGAUACAGGGCUCUUUUGGGUCUUGUAAUUGGAAUGAGUACAAUUUAAACCUCUUAACGAGGAACAAUUGGAGGGCAAGUCUGGUGCCAGCAGCCGCGGUAAUUCCAGCUCCAAUAGCGUAUAUUAAAGUUGUUGCAGUUAAAAAGCUCGUAGUUGAAACUUGGGCCUGGCUGGCGGGUCCGCCUCACCGCGUGCACUCGUCCGGCCGGGCCUUCCUUCUGAAGAACCUCAUGCCCUUCACUGGGCGUGCUGGGGAAUCAGGACUUUUACUUUGAAAAAAUUAGAGUGUUCAAAGCAGGCCUUUGCUCGUAUACGUUAGCAUGGAAUAAUAAAAUAGGGCGUGCGUUUCUAUUUUGUUGGUUUCUAGAGACGCCGCAAUGAUUAACAGGAACAGUCGGGGGCAUCAGUAUUCAGUUGUCA